RNAcentral lists this ribosomal RNA (2909 nucleotides) under Pseudomonas aeruginosa. RNAcentral's name for it is "23S ribosomal RNA". It matches the Rfam family "Bacterial large subunit ribosomal RNA". Lineage: Bacteria; Pseudomonadati; Pseudomonadota; Gammaproteobacteria; Pseudomonadales; Pseudomonadaceae. The record is from RNAcentral.
GUUAUAUGGUCAAGUGAAGAAGCGCAUACGGUGGAUGCCUUGGCAGUCAGAGGCGAUGAAAGACGUGGUAGCCUGCGAAAAGCUUCGGGGAGUCGGCAAACAGACUUUGAUCCGGAGAUCUCUGAAUGGGGGAACCCACCUAGGAUAACCUAGGUAUCUUGUACUGAAUCCAUAGGUGCAAGAGGCGAACCAGGGGAACUGAAACAUCUAAGUACCCUGAGGAAAAGAAAUCAACCGAGAUUCCCUUAGUAGUGGCGAGCGAACGGGGAUUAGCCCUUAAGCUUCAUUGAUUUUAGCGGAACGCUCUGGAAAGUGCGGCCAUAGUGGGUGAUAGCCCCGUACGCGAAAGGAUCUUUGAAGUGAAAUCGAGUAGGACGGAGCACGAGAAACUUUGUCUGAACAUGGGGGGACCAUCCUCCAAGGCUAAAUACUACUGACUGACCGAUAGUGAACCAGUACCGUGAGGGAAAGGCGAAAAGAACCCCGGAGAGGGGAGUGAAAUAGAACCUGAAACCGUAUGCGUACAAGCAGUGGGAGCCUACUUGUUAGGUGACUGCGUACCUUUUGUAUAAUGGGUCAGCGACUUAUAUUCAGUGGCAAGCUUAACCGUAUAGGGUAGGCGUAGCGAAAGCGAGUCUUAAUAGGGCGUUUAGUCGCUGGGUAUAGACCCGAAACCGGGCGAUCUAUCCAUGAGCAGGUUGAAGGUUAGGUAACACUGACUGGAGGACCGAACCCACUCCCGUUGAAAAGGUAGGGGAUGACUUGUGGAUCGGAGUGAAAGGCUAAUCAAGCUCGGAGAUAGCUGGUUCUCCUCGAAAGCUAUUUAGGUAGCGCCUCAUGUAUCACUCUGGGGGGUAGAGCACUGUUUCGGCUAGGGGGUCAUCCCGACUUACCAAACCGAUGCAAACUCCGAAUACCCAGAAGUGCCGAGCAUGGGAGACACACGGCGGGUGCUAACGUCCGUCGUGAAAAGGGAAACAACCCAGACCGCCAGCUAAGGUCCCAAAGUUGUGGUUAAGUGGUAAACGAUGUGGGAAGGCUUAGACAGCUAGGAGGUUGGCUUAGAAGCAGCCACCCUUUAAAGAAAGCGUAAUAGCUCACUAGUCGAGUCGGCCUGCGCGGAAGAUGUAACGGGGCUCAAACCACACACCGAAGCUGCGGGUGUCACGUAAGUGACGCGGUAGAGGAGCGUUCUGUAAGCCUGUGAAGGUGAGUUGAGAAGCUUGCUGGAGGUAUCAGAAGUGCGAAUGCUGACAUGAGUAACGACAAUGGGUGAAAAACACCCACGCCGAAAGACCAAGGGUUCCUGCGCAACGUUAAUCGACGCAGGGUUAGUCGGUUCCUAAGGCGAGGCUGAAAAGCGUAGUCGAUGGGAAACAGGUUAAUAUUCCUGUACUUCUGGUUACUGCGAUGGAGGGACGGAGAAGGCUAGGCCAGCUUGGCGUUGGUUGUCCAAGUUUAAGGUGGUAGGCUGAAAUCUUAGGUAAAUCCGGGGUUUCAAGGCCGAGAGCUGAUGACGAGUCGUCUUUUAGAUGACGAAGUGGUUGAUGCCAUGCUUCCAAGAAAAGCUUCUAAGCUUCAGGUAACCAGGAACCGUACCCCAAACCGACACAGGUGGUCGGGUAGAGAAUACCAAGGCGCUUGAGAGAACUCGGGUGAAGGAACUAGGCAAAAUGGCACCGUAACUUCGGGAGAAGGUGCGCCGGCUAGGGUGAAGGAUUUACUCCGUAAGCUCUGGCUGGUCGAAGAUACCAGGCCGCUGCGACUGUUUAUUAAAAACACAGCACUCUGCAAACACGAAAGUGGACGUAUAGGGUGUGACGCCUGCCCGGUGCCGGAAGGUUAAUUGAUGGGGUUAGCGCAAGCGAAGCUCUUGAUCGAAGCCCCGGUAAACGGCGGCCGUAACUAUAACGGUCCUAAGGUAGCGAAAUUCCUUGUCGGGUAAGUUCCGACCUGCACGAAUGGCGUAACGAUGGCGGCGCUGUCUCCACCCGAGACUCAGUGAAAUUGAAAUCGCUGUGAAGAUGCAGUGUAUCCGCGGCUAGACGGAAAGACCCCGUGAACCUUUACUGUAGCUUUGCACUGGACUUUGAGCCUGCUUGUGUAGGAUAGGUGGGAGGCUUUGAAGCGUGGACGCCAGUUCGCGUGGAGCCAUCCUUGAAAUACCACCCUGGCAUGCUUGAGGUUCUAACUCUGGUCCGUAAUCCGGAUCGAGGACAGUGUAUGGUGGGCAGUUUGACUGGGGCGGUCUCCUCCUAAAGAGUAACGGAGGAGUACGAAGGUGCGCUCAGACCGGUCGGAAAUCGGUCGCAGAGUAUAAAGGCAAAAGCGCGCUUGACUGCGAGACAGACACGUCGAGCAGGUACGAAAGUAGGUCUUAGUGAUCCGGUGGUUCUGUAUGGAAGGGCCAUCGCUCAACGGAUAAAAGGUACUCCGGGGAUAACAGGCUGAUACCGCCCAAGAGUUCAUAUCGACGGCGGUGUUUGGCACCUCGAUGUCGGCUCAUCACAUCCUGGGGCUGAAGCCGGUCCCAAGGGUAUGGCUGUUCGCCAUUUAAAGUGGUACGCGAGCUGGGUUUAGAACGUCGUGAGACAGUUCGGUCCCUAUCUGCCGUGGACGUUUGAGAUUUGAGAGGGCUGCUCCUAGUACGAGAGGACCGGAGUGGACGAACCUCUGGUGUUCCGGUUGUCACGCCAGUGGCAUUGCCGGGUAGCUAUGUUCGGAAAAGAUAACCGCUGAAAGCAUCUAAGCGGGAAACUUGCCUCAAGAUGAGAUCUCACUGGGAACUUGAUUCCCCUGAAGGGCCGUCGAAGACUACGACGUUGAUAGGCUGGGUGUGUAAGCGUUGUGAGGCGUUGAGCUAACCAGUACUAAUUGCCCGUGAGGCUUGACCAUAUAACACCCAAACA